Long non-coding RNA from Cotesia glomerata, 137 nucleotides. RefSeq lists it as uncharacterized. The transcript has 2 exons. The record is from RefSeq and is a predicted model, not a curated record. NCBI's taxonomy places the organism in Eukaryota, Metazoa, Arthropoda, Insecta, Hymenoptera, Braconidae.
GUUUGUCGGUAGGCAGUAGUGAAGUACGAGUUCUUGGUGAUAUACAUCUUCUACCUAUCAGUAUUACUAAUUCUAUCAAUCAUGGAUCUUACCAAGAUAAAUGAGGUUAAUUGUCUUACUGGGGUUCUUCCUGUUAA